Molecule: transfer RNA, 75 nt
Filed under: Bacillota bacterium
Lineage: Bacteria; Bacillati; Bacillota
Also listed under: 2 other names
Description: tRNA-Cys
Rfam family: tRNA
About the family: Transfer RNA (tRNA) molecules are approximately 80 nucleotides in length. Their secondary structure includes four short double-helical elements and three loops (D, anti-codon, and T loops). Further hydrogen bonds mediate the characteristic L-shaped molecular structure. tRNAs have two regions of fundamental functional importance: the anti-codon, which is responsible for specific mRNA codon recognition, and the 3' end, to which the tRNAs corresponding amino acid is attached (by aminoacyl-tRNA synthetases). tRNAs cope with the degeneracy of the genetic code in two manners: having more than one tRNA (with a specific anti-codon) for a particular amino acid; and 'wobble' base-pairing, i.e. permitting non-standard base-pairing at the 3rd anti-codon position.
Source: RNAcentral
GGCGGCAUAGCCAAGUGGUAAGGCAGGGGUCUGCAAAACCCUUAUUCCCCAGUUCGAAUCUGGGUGCCGCCUCCA